AGAAUGGCUCAGAGACUGGCUUACCUUACUCAAUGAGCCGUUAAGUUUGGAAGUCCCAAGUCCCUUCCCAGGGAUGACGCCCACUUUGUUGUUGGCACCAUCAGCGGGCGUUUUAAGACUCCUCCCUGUCAUCUUCUCUGUCUGCACCUGAACUUUUUGACGAUUGUUCGUUGUCAGGAUUCACAGCAUUCUUGUUAAUGCGCUUGCAACAACAGCAACAAAGUUUCUUGAUUUUUUCGAAUGCGAGCUUGAUCUUCGACAGUUCCUGGUUUGACUCCGUGUGUUUCUUGAUGGAGUCCGUGGCGAAGGCAUUGAGCAGCAAAGCCAGAAAGAGGUUCAGCACCUGUACUAAGAAGGAAAGAUCUUUCUGUCGGUAUAUGAAUGCCACACAUUUGUUGCUCUGUCCGUGAAAGAAACUCGAGAGAAGAAUAAUGCGUGAUUAACAGCCUGUACAACUUCCACGUCCUCUAAUGAAGUCAUCACUCUUUACCUCACUCCUUCCGUGUCGCUGAAGUCGAAGUUGCCGUAGUCCUCUCUGAAGAGCUGCAGGCCGAUGACCGCAAAGAUGUAGAUGACGAUGCCGAGGAUGCCUGUGAGGUUGGCCAGGGCUCCAAGCGUGCUGAUGAUGAUGACUGGAACUCAUGCCAUGGUACUGGAGGGCCAGGAAGACAGUGUUGAGGAUGAUGCAAAGGGUGAUGCCCAGGUCGAAGAACGGGUCUGAGAUGAGCGCGUGCACGCGGUUUUGCAGGCGCACCCACGGCACAAAGCACGCGCAGUACUUGCUGCACGCCCCGCAGUUCCUGUCCACUAGCCGUCCGUUCUGGUUGGCAAGGUCUCCUUUCAGGUAUUCAUCACUAGCAGCACUCGGUGUCCCCUCCUUUUCUAAAAUCACACCUGACGACGACACCUGUCCAGGAGCAGUUGCGAUUAUGACAGUUGUAUAUUUUUUCAAUAUUUACAAUGCUUGCGAUAGCC
Pomacea canaliculata is the source of this 975-nucleotide long non-coding RNA. RefSeq lists it as uncharacterized. Lineage: Eukaryota; Metazoa; Mollusca; Gastropoda; Architaenioglossa; Ampullariidae. The record is from RefSeq and is a predicted model, not a curated record. The transcript has 5 exons.